Molecule: long non-coding RNA, 782 nt
Filed under: Physcomitrium patens
Lineage: Eukaryota; Viridiplantae; Streptophyta; Bryopsida; Funariales; Funariaceae
Description: long non-coding RNA (PPAT_LNC004541)
Source: RNAcentral
CACAAUGUAAUCGCGAAGUUAUAUGGAGCAACCCCAGUGUUGGAAUCUCGCGUCAGAUGAACUUCUACGACGAGGAAGAACAGCCCAGGGUAAAAUCUCCCUCCUAACCCACUGUUGGUAACGUUACUGGUCAAACGUCUCUGCAAAAACCAAGUUUACGAGUUUGCAUAAAACGCUAGGGAAGGACAUGAAAAGAUGAGGGCUAUGCAUUGCUCUGUUCUGUCACUUAUUAAAAGAUUUCAGUAGGAGAUGUUCAAUGUUAAUGAAGCAUUCUGAAAUCUCUGAUCGUAUUUGAGACAAUUGGUACUGGCAAACUCCUAACAUUAUGAAGGUGAAAUCACAACAGGACAAAAAAGGGAAACGAAGUAUUUGUGUAGUCGACGAGCAGCGUCCAAUCAAUAAUUUGAAGGCUCCAGGUGAUGUUCUGUUGAGACCACCAGUUUCCAGUGACCAGAGGCGCCCAGCAGAGGAGUUAUGUACGCUGGCAGCAGCUGUGAUUGACAAUUUUGGAGCUGUUAACGUUCUUCCAACUGACAAGUUUGGUGCUGUUCACUGGUAUAACAACCAGUCUUCAAGCUUCGGUUCUACAUACAGUCAGCGAUUUGAGACUGCAGAAGAAUCAAUUGGAUCCAUCAACGUUCAAGGGGAUAACAAAAAGUUACUAGAGGAUGUUCGGGGGAAAUAUCAUCUCACAGAAUCUGGUAGUUUCUCCGUGAACGAAUCUGGAUGGGGGAGGAAUAAUCCUCUUCAUUCUACUUCAGCGGGUACAAGCAAUCCUUGUU